RNAcentral lists this non-coding RNA (22 nucleotides) under Arabidopsis thaliana (thale cress). Lineage: Eukaryota; Viridiplantae; Streptophyta; Magnoliopsida; Brassicales; Brassicaceae. The record is from RNAcentral.
UCAGUACCGCCAAAUGUCCUGA